AUACUUACCUGGCGGGGGAGAUACCAUGAUCAUGGAGGUGAUUUUCCCAGGGUGAGUCUCAUCCAUUGCACUCUGGAUGUUCUGACCCCUACGACGUGCCCGAAUGUGAGAAACUUGACUGCAUAACUUGUAGUGGUUGGGGACGGUGUUCACAUUCUUCUCUG
RNAcentral lists this small nuclear RNA (164 nucleotides) under Carlito syrichta (Philippine tarsier). Its description in RNAcentral is "U1 spliceosomal RNA (ENSTSYG00000029282.1)". It matches the Rfam family "U1 spliceosomal RNA". From Rfam's summary of the family: U1 is a small nuclear RNA (snRNA) component of the spliceosome (involved in pre-mRNA splicing). The record is from Rfam by way of RNAcentral. Lineage: Eukaryota; Metazoa; Chordata; Mammalia; Primates; Tarsiidae.